RNAcentral lists this transfer RNA (70 nucleotides) under Marmota marmota marmota (Alpine marmot). It matches the Rfam family "tRNA". From Rfam's summary of the family: Transfer RNA (tRNA) molecules are approximately 80 nucleotides in length. Their secondary structure includes four short double-helical elements and three loops (D, anti-codon, and T loops). Further hydrogen bonds mediate the characteristic L-shaped molecular structure. tRNAs have two regions of fundamental functional importance: the anti-codon, which is responsible for specific mRNA codon recognition, and the 3' end, to which the tRNAs corresponding amino acid is attached (by aminoacyl-tRNA synthetases). tRNAs cope with the degeneracy of the genetic code in two manners: having more than one tRNA (with a specific anti-codon) for a particular amino acid; and 'wobble' base-pairing, i.e. permitting non-standard base-pairing at the 3rd anti-codon position. Lineage: Eukaryota; Metazoa; Chordata; Mammalia; Rodentia; Sciuridae. RNAcentral also lists the same sequence under 2 other names. The record is from Rfam by way of RNAcentral.
GGGGAUGUAGCUUAGUUAGUAGAGUGCUUGCCUUGCAUGCACAAGGCCCUGGGUUCAAUUCCUAGUACCA